AUGAGCACACACUUCCCUGUGGUCUCCUGCCAGUGGGAUGUCAACAGCUGUCUGUACUGUCAUACUGUUCCAGGGUCUUGUCUCCAGAGUUUAAGAAGAAAAGCAACUCGGAAGUCAAGAAGAUCUACCGUCCGUCCUAUCGACAAAGUCAGAAAAAUCCGUGUCUUGCCAAAGAACAGGAUGCACCCUGUGAAGGAGUCGACGAAGCUGCCCCCGAUGACCUGGUGGAAGAACACACCAAACACAGGGCAGAGGAGAAGGCCACACCGCUUGCCAAGGUUUCCCACAGUCGGCAGGAGCCCUGUGCAGACAGAAUGCGGUCCUACAGGGACUCUCUCUCUCUGGUUGCAGACGGACUCGAGAUCCAGCGAAAACUUGCCCCUGGAGGAUGCAUGGGAGGAGCUUCCUGGUGACACGGAGGAUAAAGAAACUCCAGAGUAUACUGAGGUGAUCUCAAUACGAACAGCAAGUGAUUGGGUCUUGCAGAGCAUUUCCGACUAUAACAGUAGGAUGAAGGCUCUUCAGGUAGGAGCAACACCCACAAAGACCAGAGGGUCAAAUUAG
This 564-nucleotide long non-coding RNA is filed under the name Oryctolagus cuniculus (rabbit). RNAcentral's name for it is "lncRNA (ENSOCUG00000031618.1)". The record is from RNAcentral. Lineage: Eukaryota; Metazoa; Chordata; Mammalia; Lagomorpha; Leporidae.